GACGAACGCUGGCGGCGUGCUUAACACAUGCAAGUCGAACGAAGAGCGAUGGAAGCUUGCUUCUAUCAGUUUUAGUGGCGAGCGGGUGAGUAACGCGGAAACAACCUGCCCUUCAGAGGGGUACCACAGUUGGAAACGACUUCUAAUCCCACAUACGAUCUAACCUCGGCAUUGAGUAAAGAUGAAAGGUGUCCCCUAUGUAUAAGCUAUCACUGAAGGAGGGUUUUGUGUCUGAUUAGCUAGUUGGGGGGGUAACGGACCAACAAAGCGAAGAUCAGUAGGCGGUCUGGGAGGAGGGACGGCCCCAAUGGGACUGAGACACGGCCCAGACUCCUAAGGGAGGCAGGAGUGAGGAAACUUCCGGAAUGGACGAAAGGCUGGAGGGGCAACGCCGCGUGGGUGAUGACGGGCUUCGGGUUGUAAAGCUCUGUUAAUCGGGACGAAAGGACUUCUUGCGAAAAGUGAGAAGGAUUGACGGUACCGGAAUAGAAAGCCACGGCUAACUACGUG
RNAcentral lists this ribosomal RNA (510 nucleotides) under uncultured bacterium. RNAcentral's name for it is "partial 16S ribosomal RNA". It matches the Rfam family "Bacterial small subunit ribosomal RNA", at positions 28 to 507 of the family's 1533-position model. The record is from RNAcentral.